Molecule: long non-coding RNA, 361 nt
Organism: Perca flavescens (yellow perch)
Lineage: Eukaryota; Metazoa; Chordata; Actinopteri; Perciformes; Percidae
Exons: 3
Source: RefSeq, a predicted model, not a curated record
UUUCUUAUCUGUGCGCACGGUUUUGCAAUCUGUGCGUACAAAUUGUAAACGUGCCCACGUAAACGCGCAAAAAUGUUUAACAUUCCAGAGAAGAAGACGGCACGGGUAGCCUACUUUCAGCUGCGUCUCCAUCCGACAAAAUGGACCAGAGUUUCCACAAGUUCCUUCGAGAACAGCGGAGGUUAAAUGAGACAGUUGUCACCACCUUUAUCAACGAGAAGAUUGACUGCUAUGCUGUCCAUGGGAUGACAGAUGACCAGUUGAUGAAAUAUGUCCCCAAGAUUGGAGACCGGAUAGCUAUUCGGCAGUACUGCAGAACAGAAGUGGCUGCACUGGAAGGAACCACCACAACAAUUUCUAA